CUUUCUGUUUGAAUUUGUCUCGUGUGGUAGCUGCAAACGAAAAAAAAAAAGAAGAAAAGGUCAUGCGCUUUCACACUAGAGUUAAGUGUGGAGUUACAGGUAGUAACAAGGCUUACUGGAACGAUGUUGGAAUUCAGAUGGCGAUUUAGCAGUCAUUCGAGUACCACAGUAGUUAACUUCAUGUGUGAGUGACUGCUAGAAGACCAGUGGGAAAAGGAGAGACAAAAAGAAUAAGAGAGUCCAGAGAGGGCAAAAGCUGUGUAGUCCCUCGCCGUCGGUGCCGAAAGAAAGAACUGAACUUGGUUACUGUAUUUAUAUAAAGAAAGCUGUAGAUCAGAGAACAAUGGAGAGUAAUGGGUUUAUUUUCCUCGAACUGUAUUUAAUGCAAGAAUAUUAACUUAAACAGCAGAACUUUACUAAGUAUGACAGUAGAGUCAUAAAUUUUUUAGUGCAAAAGCCGAGAACAAAAGGAAAGGAAGUUAUGUAAAAAAUGUAGAAUCGGUUUCGAAUCCUGGCUUAAAAUCUAAGAAGCUAUUCGUUACAUAUGUUAAAAACUUUGAUUUUGUUACCUAUUUGUUCAUAAAUUAAAGCUUAU
Long non-coding RNA from Octopus bimaculoides (California two-spot octopus), 595 nucleotides. RefSeq lists it as uncharacterized. Lineage: Eukaryota; Metazoa; Mollusca; Cephalopoda; Octopoda; Octopodidae. The record is from RefSeq and is a predicted model, not a curated record.